Long non-coding RNA from Solanum tuberosum (potato), 345 nucleotides. RefSeq lists it as uncharacterized. The record is from RefSeq and is a predicted model, not a curated record. NCBI's taxonomy places the organism in Eukaryota, Viridiplantae, Streptophyta, Magnoliopsida, Solanales, Solanaceae. The transcript has 2 exons.
UUUGGCAUAAAAAAUAGUGUUGGUUGGAGAUGGUCUCACAGGAGAAAUCCGAAAAGUUCAGAGACAAAAAGAAUGAGGAUUUGCAGAGAGUUGAAGAGAAAAGUUCAAAGGGCUGUUGCUUGAUUUCAAUUUUUGCUGAAAAAAAAUGAUAAUUUCAACAGCAUUUUUGCAGUUAAACACCUAGCAAACGACGCCUUUGCUCGAAUCAUAUAGAGAGCAUUUGGACCCGUAUCUUGGCGGGGCAACCCGGAUGGAAGGUGACCUAGAAACCGGUGCUUGCAGCCAUGGCGGUGAUUUGAGUCUCUCUUUGCUGUAUUGUAAGUAUUACAUAUCUGAGCCUCAUUG